GAUUAAGCCAUGCAUGUCUAAGUAUAAGCAAUUAUACCGCGAAACUGCGAAUGGCUCAUUAUAUAAGUUAUCGUUUAUUUGAUAGUACCUUACUACUUGGAUAACCGUGGUAAUUCUAGAGCUAAUACAUGCUAAAAAUCCCGACUUCGGAAGGGAUGUAUUUAUUAGAUUAAAAACCAAUGCCCUUCGGGGCUCACUGGUGAUUCAUGAUAACUCCUCGAAUCGCAUGGCCUUGUGCCGGCGAUGGUUCAUUCAAAUUUCUUCCCUAUCAACUUUCGAUGUUUGGGUAUUGGCCAAACAUGGUUGCAACGGGUAACGGGGA
RNAcentral lists this ribosomal RNA (322 nucleotides) under Fusarium oxysporum. RNAcentral's name for it is "SSU rRNA". It matches the Rfam family "Eukaryotic small subunit ribosomal RNA", at positions 42 to 368 of the family's 1831-position model. Lineage: Eukaryota; Fungi; Ascomycota; Sordariomycetes; Hypocreales; Nectriaceae. The record is from RNAcentral.